Molecule: ribosomal RNA, 574 nt
Filed under: Squatina squatina (angelshark)
Lineage: Eukaryota; Metazoa; Chordata; Chondrichthyes; Squatinidae
Description: partial 16S ribosomal RNA
Rfam family: Bacterial large subunit ribosomal RNA
Source: RNAcentral
CGCCUCUUGAUUAUUAUAAGAGGUCCCGCCUGCCCUGUGACAAUGUUUAACGGCCGCGGUAUUUUGACCGUGCGAAGGUAGCGUAAUCACUUGUCUUUUAAAUGAAGACCUGUAUGAAAGGCAUCACGAGAGUUUAACUGUCUCUAUUUUCUAAUCGAUGAAAUUGAUUUUCCCGUGAAGAAGCGGGAAUAAUACCAUUAGACGAGAAGACCCUAUGGAGCUUCAAACACUUAGAUUAAUUUUGUAAAAAUAUUUCCUGCCCUAAGGGGUAAACCUCAUAAUAUUUUUAAUUUAAUUGUUUUUGGUUGGGGUGACCAAGGGGAAAAACAAAUCCCCCUUAUCGAUUGAGUACUAAGUACUUAAAAACUAAAGCGACAGCUUUAGUUGAUAAAAUAUUUAUCGAACAAUGACCCAGGACUUACUGAUCAAUGAACCAAGUUACCCUAGGGAUAACAGCGCAAUCCUUUCCUAGAGUCCCUAUCGCCGAAAGGGUUUACGACCUCGAUGUUGGAUCAGGACAUCCUAAUGGUGUAACCGCUAUUAAGGGUUCGUUUGUUCAACGAUUAAUAGUCCU